UACGGCCACAUCACACUGAAACACCGGUUCGCGUACGUUCACCGAAGUUAAGCAACGUUGAGUUCAGUACUUAGAUGGGUGACUGCUUGGGAAUAUCAGGUGCUGUAAU
Molecule: non-coding RNA, 109 nt
Organism: Acanthosepion pharaonis
Lineage: Eukaryota; Metazoa; Mollusca; Cephalopoda; Sepiida; Sepiidae
Source: the annotation of a GenBank genome assembly